UCCUCAGUAGUAUAGUGGUAAGUAAUCCCGCCUGUCACGCGGGAGACCGGGGUUCGAUUCCCUGCCGAGGGG
Molecule: transfer RNA, 72 nt
Filed under: Cimex lectularius (bed bug)
Lineage: Eukaryota; Metazoa; Arthropoda; Insecta; Hemiptera; Cimicidae
Description: tRNA-Asp
Rfam family: tRNA
About the family: Transfer RNA (tRNA) molecules are approximately 80 nucleotides in length. Their secondary structure includes four short double-helical elements and three loops (D, anti-codon, and T loops). Further hydrogen bonds mediate the characteristic L-shaped molecular structure. tRNAs have two regions of fundamental functional importance: the anti-codon, which is responsible for specific mRNA codon recognition, and the 3' end, to which the tRNAs corresponding amino acid is attached (by aminoacyl-tRNA synthetases). tRNAs cope with the degeneracy of the genetic code in two manners: having more than one tRNA (with a specific anti-codon) for a particular amino acid; and 'wobble' base-pairing, i.e. permitting non-standard base-pairing at the 3rd anti-codon position.
Source: Rfam by way of RNAcentral